RNAcentral lists this ribosomal RNA (96 nucleotides) under Enterocytozoon bieneusi. RNAcentral's name for it is "partial small subunit ribosomal RNA". It matches the Rfam family "Microsporidia small subunit ribosomal RNA", at positions 1216 to 1310 of the family's 1311-position model. Lineage: Eukaryota; Fungi; Microsporidia; Enterocytozoonidae. The record is from RNAcentral.
CUUAUAGAUGAAGAAGCUUCGGCUCUGAAUAUCUAUGGCUAGAUAAAGUACAAGUCGUAACAAGGUUUCAGUUGGAGAACCAGCUGAAGGAUCAUU